ACAGUGGACGAGGCCUUACCUGAAAUGAUGGAUGAAAUGAAUAAAUGGAUUACACUAGAUUAAUCAUCAUUACAAUACUCAUAACAAAAAAUAACUAUAACUAUGUAGAUCUAAAGAUUAAAAACUUUCAGGUUUCAGAUCAGGUGGAGCUGCAGGUGAACAGGUCAUUUGAGUUGGAGCGAUGCAGACAGAGACGGUGGAGGCAGAACAGCAUUGUCUGCAUGUUCAUUAAUGAGAGCAGCUCGUUUCAUUCAGCAGGUCUGAGAUCAGCUGUUCUGCACGUCUUCUGGUUUCAGGCUCAUAGAAAGCAGCGAGUUCGCUUCUGUCUCCAUGGCUCCAUGUUGAACGAGUGCUGGAUUUACAGACUGUGAUGAUGAUGUUAAUAUGUGAAUGUGGAACACAAAUGAAUGAAACUCAUUUACUUACUGUUAACAUCUCUUCCUUUUUUAUCUAUGGAAUC
This is a long non-coding RNA of Betta splendens (Siamese fighting fish), 460 nucleotides long. RefSeq lists it as uncharacterized. Lineage: Eukaryota; Metazoa; Chordata; Actinopteri; Anabantiformes; Osphronemidae. The record is from RefSeq and is a predicted model, not a curated record. The transcript is spliced from 2 exons.